This is a long non-coding RNA of Triticum aestivum (bread wheat), 1565 nucleotides long. RefSeq lists it as uncharacterized. Lineage: Eukaryota; Viridiplantae; Streptophyta; Magnoliopsida; Poales; Poaceae. The record is from RefSeq and is a predicted model, not a curated record. The transcript has 4 exons.
UAUGAAAAAAACCAGAACUCGCACGCACCGACGCACGAGCGAGACUGCCCUCUCGAUCCCCUCGACCUACGAUCUGUGACUACAGACGCACCAGAUCGCCGCCGCGGACCUCGCAGGGAAGACGCGGACGAGAUCCCAAGCCGCUGCUCCUCCUCUCCCGGGAUGCCACCGCCGCCGCCGAACCAGGGAGACGCCGGCGACCGUCACCGCCGUUGUGGAUCACCAGGACGCCGCCGCCUGCACCGCCACCACCGCGCCUCGGAUACGUCGCUGCGAGGCGGAUCCCUGGGAGCGGGAGGAGGUAGGGGUCAGCCGCGUCGACAGCGGCGAGGUGGAGCCCUGGGGCUGGGAGUGGGUAUGGGAGGAGGUGGGGGGCAGCUGCGAGCGCAACGGGGUGAGGGGCGUCGAUGAGAUGCUCCUGGUGCCUCCCUCCGAGUGGGAGGGGGAGAGGGGCGUCAGCGGCGAGCCGGACGGGGCGAGGGGCGUCGAUGAGAUGCCCCCGGCGCUUCCCUGCGGGCGGGAGGAGGAGAGGGGCGUCGGCGACGAGGCGGGUGUCGGCGGCGAGAUGGGUGUCGGCGGCGAUGAGGAUUGCAUUGUUGCGCCGCCGCCACUUCCUACAGACUCCCUCACUCACAGUGCAAGACAUCCCAACUCGGGUCCAUCCGGGUAAACACCGCCGCCGCCCUUGGCAGGAUCCCUUUUGGCGGCUUCGAUCUAGGCAAAAGAGGAGCGGAAGGAGAGAAGUACUGGUCUAUGACUCGGGUCAUGGGGAUGGAUGGAUCUCUUGGUAAUGGUGGAUCCAGAGUUCCAGACUCAGUUCAUCUUAUAGGCUUAAUUCGUACUGUAUCAUUUUGAUGAAUACGUUGCUCCCCUAUUUUUUCUACAAUCAAGAUGAUUUUCCUCUGUGGGGUAUGCAUAUCAUCUUCUUUCGUUUUCGUUAGAACAUAUGAUAUUUUGUUUGACAGGCAGGUACAACGAUGGCAAAUAUCUGUUUUCAUCAUAAAUAUAUUUUCAUGAGAUACAAUGGCAAUCAGGCGGCACAUGCAGAAGAGUUGUGGAAGGUUGAUUGAGAAGUCAUAAGGACUGGGUGAAGCAAAAUGCAAUCUCCAAGUUUCAGGUUUCAAAAUGAGAAAUUGGAGCAUUGAGACCUUCGAACUGAAACCUAAAUAAAGAUGUAACUCGAUCCACCGUGUCCAAUCAUAAGGUGACAAUGGCGGCACAACAGCCAGGAGGAGACGGUGGCGAGCCCCCCUCCUCCAACUAUAGCAAUCCACCAGGCGGCGGCACGAACGACCUUCAUCUCUAGAUGCUUCCCUGCACACCGAUGAGAUUCACGCCGAUGGUCUUGACUUAUGACCAAUGUCCUUCAGGCCUGAAGUCCCUAUAGUACCCAAGGUCGAGUGAUCACUGUUGCGCCUCGCUGUGUCCUAACUCCUGACCAAUGUCCUUCAGCCUCUGGUAGCUCAUUCACUUUUUAGUGUUAGAUCUCCUUCUGUCAAGGUUUAAUGUUCUUGUACUAUUUUUUUGAGACAUGGUCACGGUUUCUUUAUGCAUGAUUUUUUAAA